Molecule: long non-coding RNA, 240 nt
Filed under: Sorghum bicolor (sorghum)
Lineage: Eukaryota; Viridiplantae; Streptophyta; Magnoliopsida; Poales; Poaceae
Description: long non-coding RNA (SBIC_LNC016284)
Source: RNAcentral
CCCAUACUUGUUUUCUGCUUUCUCGCAUAAAAAUAAAGUAGAGACACACAAGACAUAAUAAUAAUACUAAUACUCUUUAUUAAUCUCGAGGCAUUUAUUACAAAUGACUAGUAAUGAACUGAAGCUAAUAAUAGAUCUAAACCGAAUUUAAAGAUAAAUAACUAAGAUGCAUUGCCUCAAGAUCUAAUCUAGAUAGCUUAGCGGUGCUCUAACUCCCUAAUCUUCUUAUUGGCACUAGCA